RNAcentral lists this ribosomal RNA (253 nucleotides) under uncultured bacterium. RNAcentral describes it as "partial 16S ribosomal RNA". It matches the Rfam family "Bacterial small subunit ribosomal RNA", at positions 524 to 776 of the family's 1533-position model. The record is from RNAcentral.
UACGUAGGGCGCAAGCGUUAUCCGGAAUUAUUGGGCGUAAAGAGCUCGUAGGCGGUUUGUCGCGUCUGCCGUGAAAGUCCGGGGCUCAACUCCGGAUCUGCGGUGGGUACGGGCAGACUAGAGUGAUGUAGGGGAGACUGGAAUUCCAGGUGUAGCGGUGAAAUGCGUAGAUAUCUGGAGGAACACCGGUGGCGAAGGCGGCAUCCUGGACCGGUAUUGACGCUGAGGCGCGAAAGCCAGGGGAGCAAACGGG